ACAGUGUCUGGUGGGUAGUUUGACUGGGGCGGUCUCCUCCUAAAGAGUAACGGAGGAGCACGAAGGUUGGCUAAUCCUGGUCGGACAUCAGGAGGUUAGUGCAAUGGCAUAAGCCAGCUUGACUGCGAGCGUGACGGCGCGAGCAGGUGCGAAAGCAGGUCAUAGUGAUCCGGUGGUUCUGAAUGGAAGGGCCAUCGCUCAACGGAUAAAAGGUACUCCGGGGAUAACAGGCUGAUACCGCCCAAGAGUUCAUAUCGACGGCGGUGUUUGGCACCUCGAUGUCGGCUCAUCACAUCCUGGGGCUGAAGUAGGUCCCAAGGGUAUGGCUGUUCGCCAUUUAAAGUGGUACGCGAGCUGGGUUUAGAACGUCGUGAGACAGUUCGGUCCCUAUCUGCCGUGGGCGCUGGAGAAUUGAGGGGGGCUGCUCCUAGUACGAGAGGACCGGAGUGGACGCAUCACUGGUGUUCGGGUUGUCAUGCCAAUGGCACUGCCCGGUAGCUAAAUGCGGAAGAGAUAAGUGCUGAAAGCAUCUAAGCACGAAACUUGCCCCGAGAUGAGUUCUCCCUGACUCCUUGAGAGUCCUGAAGGAACGUUGAAGACGACGACGUUGAUAGGCCGGGUGUGUAAGCGCAGCGAUGCGUUGAGCUAAUCGGUACUAAUGAACCGUGAGGCUUAACCUUACAACGCCGAAG
Molecule: ribosomal RNA, 692 nt
Filed under: Escherichia coli
Lineage: Bacteria; Pseudomonadati; Pseudomonadota; Gammaproteobacteria; Enterobacterales; Enterobacteriaceae
Description: partial 23S ribosomal RNA
Rfam family: Bacterial large subunit ribosomal RNA
Source: RNAcentral